AUUGAACGCUGGCGGCAGGCCUAACACAUGCAAGUCGAACGGUAACAGGAAACAGCUUGCUGUUUCGCUGACGAGUGGCGGACGGGUGAGUAAUGUCUGGGAAACUGCCUGAUGGAGGGGGAUAACUACUGGAAACGGUAGCUAAUUCCGCAUAACGUCGCAAGACCAAAGAGGGGGACCCUCGGGCCUCUUGCCAUCGGAUGUGCCCAGAUGGGAUUAGCUUGUUGGUGGGGUAACGGCUCACCAAGGCGACGAUCCCUAGCUGGUCUGAGAGGAUGACCAGCCACACUGGAACUGAGACACGGUCCAGACUCCUACGGGAGGCAGCAGUGGGGAAUAUUGCACAAUGGGCGCAAGCCUGAUGCAGCCAUGCCGCGUGUAUGAAGAAGGCCUUCGGGUUGUAAAGUACUUUCAGCGGGGAGGAAGGGAGUAAAGUUAAUACCUUUGCUCAUUGACGUUACCCGCAGAAGAAGCACCGGCUAACUCCGUG
This 490-nucleotide ribosomal RNA is filed under the name uncultured bacterium. RNAcentral's name for it is "partial 16S ribosomal RNA". It matches the Rfam family "Bacterial small subunit ribosomal RNA", at positions 30 to 507 of the family's 1533-position model. The record is from RNAcentral.